Molecule: long non-coding RNA, 650 nt
Filed under: Malus domestica (apple)
Lineage: Eukaryota; Viridiplantae; Streptophyta; Magnoliopsida; Rosales; Rosaceae
Description: long non-coding RNA (MDOM_LNC006054)
Source: RNAcentral
AAAACAAAGAUUACAUGAAUUAGACAUUGAAAUAUAAGAUAGAAAACACCUAAAAUCGUUCAACAACUCAGAUUGAAAAGCCAAACAAUUGUAGAGAAUCUGUCCCCUUUGUUGCUUGCGGCAGAUUGUAUGGUGAUGCUUCUUGGCUUGUUUUGAUGAUGUAGAAUGGAAUUUGGGGGGUGUAGAGGCACGGCAAGGGUUGUAGGAUGAGUGUGGAUGAGUGGUGGAUGGAUGGAAAAUGGUGGAAAGCUCGGCAAGAAUGGUGGAGGGGUGGAAAAUGGUGGAAAGCUCGGCAAGAAUGGUGGAGGGGUGCGGCAGGUUGUAGAACUAGGUUUUCUGGAAUGUAGAAUGAAUAUGGCAGAUGGUAGUUCGGCCUAGGGGUUAAAACACAUAUAUAUAAGCACUACAAACCCUAGGGCAAACAGAUUAGGGCCUCUAAAACCCAAAUCCAUCAGAAAUUAGGUUAAAACAAUUAGAAUUUAAGUGGGAAAAGGGCCUAGGGUGCGGCUGGUUACUAGGGUAAAGCAAUGGGCCUUCUAGAAUGCCUUGCAAGGCAAGGAAAUCAGAUUUCUAAAGCCCUAGGUGCGGCAAGGGUUAGGGGGGAAAUGCUAGGUCAUCUAAAAGCCCAAAGCCAAGAAUAGAAACUCUCG